GAUCACUCUGUUUUUACAAAGCCUUAGGCACACAGGGAGCAUGUGAUAUGCCAGCCUACUGUGGUAUUUUUAUGUGAAAACACAACAAUUCGUGAUAAGAAGUCACAGUGAUGGUUGAGAAGAUAUACCAGCCAUUCCAGCAUCUUUGUUGCUGAGAUAGUCAUCUCCUGUAAAGGGCCUUUGAGGACAAUGAUUUCUCAAACAUGGACCCAUAGUUGCUGGAACUUUUUUGCAGGCACUCUGAGUGUGGCAUUCAACUCAUCUACAUCUGCUCUGUAAACAGCUGUUCAGUAAGAAAACAACUUCCCUUGGAUGAAGAUGACACCGACUUUUACUCCUCAGCAAAAAUAACUGGGACAACAGAGGAAAUUUUAAUUUAAAAAGAACUUUUCCUUUUAAGUGACAUCUUUGUAUAGGUGGAAAUUAUUUCUGCCAGUGCGCUCACAAGUCAAUUUUCAAGCACUGAUUUAAUAAUAAGAAGUAGCACACUGUCUAAAAGUAAAUGUUUAAUAUAUAUCUAUCAUCUAUACACAAAUGCCUUCACUCAUGAGUCAUAGGAAGAGUCAUCAUUAGAGGAUAAUCACAAAGGCUUAAAGAAAGGCUGUAUUAACUCAUCCUUCUUACAACAGCACAAAAAGAGCUGUUGCUCAGACCUGAAGGGGAUCAAAGAUUUUAAAUGCAUACAGGUUUGAUUUAUGAAGCAACCAAGAAAAUCCAACUCAUUUCUGUUAUUCACUAAUCACUAAAAGAUAUAACCUUAUUUUUAUUGCUUCCAAAUACCACUGAUUAAGAAUUUACACAAGGUAUCUGACCUCAAUUGCAAUGAUUACUGUCUGCUUCACAGUGUUUACUGCAUUUAAAUUCACAGUGUUCUUGUGAGAUAAAAAAGUGCAAUUGUUCACACAAAUGAAGAGCUAGUAGAUUUUAAGAUGAAUGACAAAAUUCUAAAAAUUAUUUAGAUGGCUUGAAUCCUACUGAUUUCAAGGAGCUGAAAUUUAUUUUUCAAGGGUAUGUGUCAGAAGUGAUGGGCAGGAUUCAUCUCACUUAACUUUAAACUGUCUAAGCAAUUUGUCAGCUCUCCCUCUACCGAAAUGCAGGGCUACAGAUCUCUAGAGUACAAUUCAUUCUUUCCCCAUGCAGGAUCUAAGCCAGAUGAUUGAAUAAAUUUUGGAAUAAUUUUAUUCUCCACUGAUUACAUAAAAAACCUAAAUGGCUGGCAUAAAAUGUACAUUGAGCAUAGUCAAAUGGAAGUGAAAAGAAACCUACCUGGUGGAUACCAGAGAAGUUUAAGGCCACUUUAAUGUCCAUUCCAAAUUAACAUGAGGGGUUUUCAGCUGUUGUAAUUUGCUUCCACUGUACCUAAACUGAAAAAGUCAUGCUGGCAGGGAGACUACUGAGCCAUGGAAAUGGGAUGUACUUCUCCUCCAAAGAAGGAAUUGUCAUAAUAAGCCUCAGAGGACUUACAAGAUUUAUAAUUGUCUAGGUCUUCCGUUGUGAGUCUAGCCACCUUAUGGCUCAAAGCUCUAGAGUUAAGUUGCUCAGUGUUGGAGCAGCCUAUAUUCAUCCUUGUUUGCAGUGGGAGUUAAUUUCUUAGAUAUGAAUAUUUCAAGCGUUUGAAACCCUUUAAUUCUCAUGUUAUUUUAAAAUCCUUUCCCUCAAGGUUUUUAACACUGGACAACCAUUAGGAAACAUGUAAAAUGAGUACUUUUUGGUUUAGUCCUGUUUUAAUGUCUGGGUGUAUGCAAAAUUAAAAAGAUAACAUUACAAUAGAUAAUGACAGUUGUAAUUACUUGUAGUCUCAAUAUAGACUUCUAUUGGGAAAAUAUGUCUUACUUUACUAGAUUUUCUCUCUAGCAUACAAUCAUAACUGGAUAGGAAAAUCAGACUCAGUGCAACAAUUCAGCAAAUAAAUUGAGGACUUCACUUUCCAGGCCUCACAUACUUGACAUUCUGGUACUUCAAAGAAACUUGAAAAAUUAAAGAAUGGAAUGUUAUUGGCAACAUCAUCUACUGCUCACUAAAGGGCAUGUGUAGAUUCAUAAAACGGAAGGGUUUUCUUUAUAACAACAACAAAAAAAAUCUAUAUUUCAUUACAGUUGCACACUGUGGUGUGACUGAUUGGUUGUUGCAGAGCUAAUAAAAAAGAUGACUACUUGCAGCUGAUAACAUAUCCUAUUUCCAUUUAAUUUGAUGGUUUUCUGCUAGGCUGUUGGGAACCUGUAAUCACAAAACAUUGAAGAUUCAGCUAUUUCGAAGCCUGGUUGCAAUUUCUGCUGUUUUCUGACUACUUAGCCUUACUUAGAAAUAUAACCCCUUACUAUUUGUUAUGAAGAUAGUCAUUAAAGUGUACACUAACACUGUCAUAUGUAAAAUUCACUAUCUCCAACCAAACAUAUGAGAACACGUACUACCUUUUUAUGCCAGAGAUAAUUAUAAUUUUUAAUUUUUGUUAUUGGUGCCUAAUUACUCUAGGAAUGUACUAUUAAUAAACAAAAAGGACAGUUUCUGCCUUAAAGGACUUCCAAGUACCAGCUAGAGGCAAAAAAAUCAAAGAAAGCAAGGGCAAUUUUUGCACAAGGGCAGAAUUGGCACAGAUAAUUUCCACAAAGAAUUUGUACAUUAAAACCUUACUUAUUGUUUUAACCUAUUUUUAAUACAGAACCUGGGACCAGGUUCUGUAAAUCAAUGGUAGAUACAAUUUUAAAAACCAACGUGUUAAACUAACAAUUACUUGGAAAUUCAGGGGUCCCAAAGUUUCUGGAGGGUAAAUGUAGCCAGAUAUACCUCAUUUAGCUGCACAAAUACAACAGAUAUCAGAAAACCAUAAUGGCUUCCUAUAUAGCUGUUGUCAGAUGGCAGAGAGGGCCUAACAACAAAGCCAAAUAAAUGUUAUUUUAAUUAUUUAUUCUAUGACAAUUUAAAUAUGGACAUGAAAAAUAAUGCAUAAAUAUUUCUAGAUAUUUUUUUCUCCUCAACCUAAAACCAGGGGGGAAAAAUUUCCAUCAUGAUAUAGGAAUCAUUAGAUCUAUACGCAGUCUCAAAGUGCCAAAGCUAACCAUGUGAUUGUGUUCCUGACCUGGUCUCAUAUUAGUUGGGUGCUUUUUCACUUUCUCAGCUUAAGAUAUCCUCCCACUGAGGAAGAAGGAUUUGGCAGAAACAACACUUGAUGAACUGACCACAACCCAUGAAGUUGAGCCUGGGAAGAAGGGAAGAUGGGAAAAGGGCGUUUUCAAUUUUCUUUCUUGUUAUUCUACUCUUAUGUAAUUGUUAAUAAAUUAGAAU
This is a long non-coding RNA of Pipra filicauda (Wire-tailed manakin), 3282 nucleotides long. RefSeq lists it as uncharacterized. The transcript is spliced from 3 exons. Lineage: Eukaryota; Metazoa; Chordata; Aves; Passeriformes; Pipridae. The record is from RefSeq and is a predicted model, not a curated record.